UGUCAUGCCUCCCUCUCUCUCUCUCUCUCUUUUUUUUUUCCUUUUAAUAUUUUCUUUGGAGGGCAGAUUUACUUUUGUAAUUAGAAUUUGCAUUUUUUCCAUUUGGGGUUCGUUGAGAUGUGUGCUUCUUCCUUUGCAUCUGUGCUGCAGAGAACAGUAGCAGCAAAAAGGAGAUAGAAAUUCUACUUUAAAGAAAUUCUGCUUUUUAAAAUUCAAAAGCAAAAAGGGUCACUGGUUACUUUUAUAUGAUUAUUUAUUGGAAUAUCUACUUCCCCUGCUUUGACCAGCAGUGUAAGAUGCUCCUGAUGUUAGGUAUGUAUAGGUUAGGUAUGCAGUGGUGUUUCUCAUUCUUCACUCGUGGCAGAGGAACCUAUAUUCUCAUUUAUCCACCCUGCAAGGAGGUGAAGGUCUUGCUAGGAAGCUUUCCUGUCUUUUCAGUUCCUCCCAUCUGGCUGAGGAAGCCGAAGUCAUCAGGGGGUGUCAAACAAGAAGGGAAGCAGAGAUUUCAGCGAUGUCUGUGUUGGCAGCAGGGUGGGGAAGGGAUUAGUGCUGAGCAUUAGGGAAUCCAGAGUAACGUGUUAAUUGGUAGGUUUGGAUUGAGACUGAAGUUUGUUAGUAAAGUCAGGCAUUACUUAUGUGGUCCUGUUUUAAGGAAUAACAGUCUUAAAGAAGGACAUUGUAAGGGAAGCAUGUCUUGAAGCAGAAGAUUAAUUCACAGCUGGUUUUCAAGCACUCAUUUGAUUUACAGGCUUUUUAAAGCAGAUGCUUUCAUUUAAUUUAGUGCUACAUAUUUUCCACAUUUAUAGCCAAAAUCUCACUGCAGUUUAAGACGCACUCGACUGAAGUGACGCUUCUAAAUCCAGUAGAGCAGUUUUGCUGGAAGUUAACACCACUGAGUUGCAGAGCGUCUGCAGUUAAUGUUAAUUCUUGUACUUCUCUUGUCUUGGGACUGUGAUAUUAAAUAUUUAAAAUGUGUGCCCAGUCUUCUAGGUGAGGGUGUGCGUGCAGUUUGGAAUGCAUUUAAAUAAAUAGUAGCUAUGUUGACCUGCACUCCUACUUGUUUUCCUGUAGCUGGAAGUGAGAACCUAAUUAUGCACAGCGUUUGCAUAAAACAAGGCUUCCUUGUUCACCAGCUGCAUUUCUAAUGCUGGAAGACAAUCAUUAGGAUUUUCUGUUUUGAACUGUGUUGGGAGUAAAGCUAUCCCAGCAGCCUUCAGGGGCCAAAGGGGACAAAAGGCCACACAAGUAAAGCCAAGAGUUGUGGAGUUAAAGCCAUUGAUUCCCCUGGUGCUCGGGCUGUGGGCAGGCAGAGCCGUGGGACCUUCCUGUUGCAGUGGGAUCCUCUCCAGCAUAGCAGUGUGAGUGGAGGUUGUAGAGGAGUUUUCUGGAUUUUCGUGGUGCCAAUGUGCACCUUCAUGAGAUAAAACAAGAUUUUACUCAUCAAUUUUGUUUUUUUCUAUUUGAAAGACAAAGUCCCAUCAGUCUCCUUUGCCUCUGGUCUCCACACUCAGUCUCUGUGCCAGGCACUGGAGCCAACCUUGCAGCAGGGUACUGCUAGACUUGACAGCAGGAGCGAAGGGAGGAGGCCUGAUACACACGUGUCCGGUGAAUUGCCCCUUCUAUUUCCUUGCUGAAAAGUAUUCUUCUUCUUCUACUGAAAAGUAAAGAUGUUUGGUCCUUUUGCCAGUAAUUCAAGUUGCUGCAUUAUUGGGCCAGUGGGGUGCAGUCCCUUCUCUGCUGUAGGUCUGUGCUAGGAAUCGUGCAGUCCAGUGCCAAAUGAAACGUCUAUAUCUCUUUGGCUUUGGCAGCACCUUCUGUUGCACUGAGAUGCUAAAUGCUCACUAGGAGGAAUAAAUACAAGCAACAGCUGCUGCCACUUCUGAAUGUGGCGUUCUGUUCUUGCCAGGUGAGUAAAAUGAGACCAUAUCCAUUUACUGAAAAAAGUAUAUCCAGUCACCAAGGCAGCAGGAACAAUACCGAGCAAACCCUUCCUUUUUACUUCCCAGAGCUACAGCACCGAGAUCAGAGCUGUUCUGUAAAGCAGUAUCCAUUCAGAGCACUGGUAGUACACACUGGUACUGCACAGUGCUGAAUGGUGUGGGUGUGUGCUGCAGUGCCUCAUCCACUGAGUGGGCUGUGGGACACAGAGCCCCACGUUCCACCUGUCACCAUUUCCAGAGGUAGAGGAGUGUGGCAAGGCUUGGCAGAGCUGGGCUGCUUGGAUUCUCAGGGUGCUGACAGGUGGAAAUUUGCCCCUUGCUGAUGCUCUUUAAAGCUCACGUUGGUUUGGAGCAACAGGUUUCUUAUCGUGCCAAGAAUACAGCAGACCGGUUAGGUGUAGGGAACUAAUCCUAACAGAAACCACACUUGACAUUUUUAUCACGUUACGUUGAACUACGUGGGGUUACCCAAUGUGCAAAUCUGUUAAAGACUUCAUGGCUUCCUCUGAAUGUGAAUCAUCCCUUUAAAGCUGGAAUUGAGCCUCUGAGGGCAGGAGCUGCACGCUGCAGCACUCGUUCAGAGAACGGGUCACCUCCUCAUCUUCUUUCCUGACAGCAAAUUGUCUCAAUUCUUCUCAUAUUCCACAGCCUCUCAUUGAGCCCUUUGCACAAACAGCCGUGGUUUGCAGCUGCAGCCCUGAUGCAUUCAGAUUUCUGAAAACUUGGAAAAGGGUACAAGGGAGCACGUGCAGAAUAUUAUUUUACUUCAGAAAUAUUAAAAUUCAUUGUGGUAAGCAUCAAUGAAUCUGCAUUUGGAAACAAAAGGCAACUUUCAGAAGCCAUUGUCCAACUGCCAGGGAUUGCAAUAUGGAAGGUGCGUGGCAGCUGCUUUUUCAGACAAGCACGUGAGUCUGACACAAAGGCAGCAGGAUCUGUACCUGGAAGUAGCAGUGACUGAGGAAAUGGAAAAGGUGGUGGAAGAUGUCUGUCAUACACAUCUGAACCUGUGAGCUCUUAGGCAGGGAUGGAAAUGUCGGCAUCAUCCAGCUUCCAGAGAUCCAAUGCUGCUGUGGUGAGAGCAGCACCCCAGGGUGCUGAGCUCUGCUGAGAGAGCAAUGCUGGGCCUGCUGCUGCACAGCCUGCGUGGGCACGGCCCUUACUAGGGCUUCAAUGAAUGCCUUAGGUUGGAAGGGACCUCAAGGAUCAUGAAGCUCCAACCCCCCUGCUGCAUGCAGGGCCACCAGCCUCCAUAUCUAAUACUAGACCAGGCUGCCCAGGGCCCCAUCCAACCUGGCCUUGGACACCUCCAGGGAUGGACGGGGCAUCCACAGCCUCUCUGGGCAGCUGUUCAGCACCUCACCACUCUCACAGUAAAGAACUUCCCCGACAUCCAACCUAAAUCUUCCCUCCUUCAACUUCGAACCAUUUCCCCUUGUCCUGCUGUUAUCUCCCCUUCCAAAGAGUUGCCUCCCCU
This 3414-nucleotide long non-coding RNA is filed under the name Gallus gallus (chicken). RNAcentral's name for it is "lncRNA (ENSGALG00010001653.1)". Lineage: Eukaryota; Metazoa; Chordata; Aves; Galliformes; Phasianidae. The record is from RNAcentral.